CAGAAAAUAAAUAAAUAAAACAAUCCUAAUUCAUCUUCCGCGAAAAAAGAAAAAAGAGGGAAAAUACCCAAAAUCUGUAAGGGUGAAAGUACAUCCUUAGCCCUGUGGCACCCUAUGUAAUGGUUCCUUCAUCAAUCGUCACUCAUAAAUCAAUUCUGAAAAUAGUGCUAGGGUUUGUUUUCUUUUCGCCGCCGACCGUCGCUCUUCUUUCUGCAAUACAGCUACUUCGUCGUCGUCGUCGUCGACGAUUCUUUUCGUAUUCAUCGGUGAUGAAACAAUAUUAUUGUUAUCCUUGCACUUUGAUUUACCAUGAAGAAACCCAUGGGGAAUAUUGUUCCUGAGAUGCUUUUGUUCUCUAGAAGGUCGCUAGUUUACGAUUUUGUAGGUCAUUGUUUUUUUUUUUUUUUUUUUUCUUUUUCUACUUUAUAUCUAGACCGAUGAUGCGAUUACAAAUCUGCGUUAUCUAUCUGCAAUUUCCUGCUAGGAAUUGAAGAUAAACGUAUAAUCUCUGAGAUCUGUUUUCUUACUCUAUUGUUUCCCCCCGAGUCUUAUUUUAUUUCUUAGAGAUAUAGGUAUUUGUUUGAAUGGUUAAUUGUUUAUAUGCGUUUACCAAUACAUCCCUUGGAUCCAUGAUGUUUAUGAAAAACUGCGUUAUCUAUCUGUAAGUUCCUCCUAUAUGGAGUUGAUGAUAUUGUUGAUUUCUGAGAUCCAACAGCGUUGUUUUCAUUGGAUGGUUGUUGGUGGGUAGGUUUCGUUCCAGAACGUCCGUUUUCAACUUUUUGCCGGUUGGUGGUUGAUGAGUUUUGUUGUCAUUUGUCCCCAGAACCAUUUCUUUGUCUCCUUCUCCUGUUUUCAACACCUACUACUUCAUAUCCACCAAUCUCAAUAGGUAGUAACUUGAAGCUGCUUUGCCUUUUUAUGGCUGUUCGCUGUUUGUUUUGAUUUUUUUUUUAUGCCUGAUUGGUAUUGCCUGCCAUUUUGUAAAUCGAUGAAUUAAACAUUUACUUUUUGUUUCUGCUUGAUUCAUUCUCGACUUAGGGUUUCUUUUUUCUUUUCCUUUUCCUGCCAUUUUGUUUUGGUUUCCGUAAUGCUCUAUGUUUUUGAAAAUUCAAAUUCCAAAAACAAGUCAAUUUUUUCUUUAAUUUUUGUUUUCUGAUCUUAGUUUGGAUUUUGUUCACACUCACAUAGUCUUAAAACUAUUUUGGACUUGAGAUACCACAAAUGUUUGCAACUCCUCGCGGAAUAAUUGUGAUGUAAUUGCAAAUGCUUACAACACCUUCUGUACUGGGAGAAGAGAAUGUUAUGUUCUUCUGGGUACGUAGAGAAAUCAAUCUUUUGGAAGCGAAGAGAGUGCGAAUGUAGAAUACUAAUUCUUUUAAUUGUAAAUCUUACGAUCCUCAAUUACUGAAGUUAUAUAAUUUAGAAUCCAGGUUACAUUGUCAUGGUUAAUCGUUCAUGCAUUCAAGUAUUUUUCUUUAACUUUUGAACUAUUAUCAAACUUGUAACUAUAAAAUGAACCUGUUGUAUUGAG
Cucurbita pepo subsp. pepo (vegetable marrow) is the source of this 1531-nucleotide non-coding RNA. Lineage: Eukaryota; Viridiplantae; Streptophyta; Magnoliopsida; Cucurbitales; Cucurbitaceae. The record is from RefSeq and is a predicted model, not a curated record.